UAGAUUUCGCACAGUUCGAACUGCAGGGGUGUUUUUGCUUUUGUAGCACUUCUAUAUUACCACCCACGACCCUAGGGCUGCUCUUUGAGCUUGCCACUGCAGGGAGAAGGUAAAGGGAGCUCCUCUAUGCUUCUCUUUGAUUUUGAUCUCAUUUUUGGCUUGGGAUUAAAGGUUUAACCUCUCUUUUUCCCUCUUGGUGCAUUUUCCCCCCAUGGAUGAAGCUUGGAGCUUGGGUUUAUGCUUGGUUGAGGGUUGAUCCUUGGAGUUUGAGGACUUUGAGCUUCGUUUGAAGCUUCUAAGAGGCUUUUGAACCCAAAUUGGUUGGAUUUGAACCUUCCCUGGGCUUGGAUUGGAAGGGAUUUAGCCCUCUUUUGGAGCUUGAGAGAGAUUUUCCACACAUUAAGGUAUUUUGAGACUCGGGGACAACUUUGUUCGGCGAAACGAGACCCUACGCGACGGUUCGG
Long non-coding RNA from Ananas comosus (pineapple), 464 nucleotides. RefSeq lists it as uncharacterized. The transcript is spliced from 3 exons. The record is from RefSeq and is a predicted model, not a curated record. NCBI's taxonomy places the organism in Eukaryota, Viridiplantae, Streptophyta, Magnoliopsida, Poales, Bromeliaceae.